Molecule: ribosomal RNA, 359 nt
Filed under: uncultured Spongiobacter sp.
Lineage: Bacteria; Pseudomonadati; Pseudomonadota; Gammaproteobacteria
Description: bacterial SSU rRNA
Rfam family: Bacterial small subunit ribosomal RNA
Source: RNAcentral
UGAUCCUGGCUCAGAUUGAACGCUGGCGGCAGGCCUAACACAUGCAAGUCGAGCGGUAGCGGGAAGAGCUUGCUCUUUGCCGACGAGCGGCGGACGGGUGCGUAACACGUAGGAAUCUGCCCGGUAGUGGGGGAUAGCCCGGAGAAAUCCGGAUUAAUACCGCAUACGCCCUAGCUCUUUAAGAGCGGUGGAAAGCAGGGGAUCGGUUCGCCGACCUUGCGCUAUCGGAUGAGCCUGCGUCGGAUUAGCUGGUUGGUGGGGUAAAGGCCUACCAAGGCAACGAUCCGUAGCUGGUCUGAGAGGAUGAUCAGCCACACUGGGACUGAGACACGGCCCAGACUCCUACGGGAGGCAGCAGU